Molecule: RNA transcript, 2718 nt
Organism: Fragaria vesca subsp. vesca
Lineage: Eukaryota; Viridiplantae; Streptophyta; Magnoliopsida; Rosales; Rosaceae
Gene name: probable LRR receptor-like serine/threonine-protein kinase At1g07650-like
Exons: 20
Source: RefSeq, a predicted model, not a curated record
AUGGUAAGAAUUUAUAGGAACGAUGUCAUCUUCAUAUUGGUCAUUUGCAUGGCACAAGUCACAUUGGAAGCAGGUUCCAUGACUCUUCCAGCUGACGAGGUGCAAGCCCUUCAUGAAAUUGCUGAGCAACUCAACAAAAAGGACUGGAAUUUGAGCGACCCAUGUAGAAAUAUUCCAACUUUCUCAAUUCCACAUACGGAUCAGUACAACAACACCCUCUUCUGCAACUGUUCCUUCCCCGGCAACGUGUGCCAUGUCCAAACCAUCUUUCUUGUGGGUCAAGACCUCGAUGGUGUGCUUCCACCAUCACUGGUGAAGCUACCGUACCUCAAGGAACUUAAUCUGAAGCAGAAUUACCUUAGUGGUUCAAUUCCACCCGAAUGGGCUUCUACCAAGUUGGAAUUUCUGGUUCUCAGUGUGAACAACUUAUCAGGAUCUAUCCCGGCCUAUUUGGGGAACAUAACUACUCUCCGAGCUUUGGCCCUGGAGAGCAACUUUUUUUCUGGAUCUAUUCCGCCGGAGAUGGGGAGAUUGAUUAACAUGGAAGUCCUCUACCUUCGUUCUAACAAUCUCACUGGACAGUUGCCUGUGGCUCUCAUUAAUAUGACCAAAUUAAAAACACUUUGGAUUGGCAGUAACAACUUCACUGGAAAAAUACCAAACUAUUUUCCUAGUUGGAAAGAACUACAGAUGUUAGAGAUGCAAGCCAGUGGCUUUGAAGGACCCAUUCCUUCUACUCUUUUCUGUCUUAAGUAAUAUGAAAUACCUAGUAAUCAGUGAUUUAAGUGGUGAGAGCUCAGUUUUUCCAGACUUGUCAAACAUGAAAAACAUGCAGACAUUGAUGUUAAGGAGCUGCAAUAUGACAGGAUCAAUUCCAGAAUAUAUCUCUAACAUGACAAGCCUGCAAGUUUUAGAUCUUAGCUUCAACAGAUUGAAAGGGAGCAUCCCAAAUCUUGACAAUUUAUUGGGAUUGGCCACAAUAUAUCUGACAAGUAACUGGCUUACUGGGCUGCCAGAGUGGAUCACAAAUAGAGAUAGCCGCUACAUAGUAGAUCUUUCUUACAACAAUUUUUCAAGGGAUUCUGUCCCAACUACAUGUCGAGAAACCUUAUAUUCAUUGCAUAUAAACUGUGGUGGAAAACCAAUCACAAUUGGAGGCAUCAAGUAUGAGGGGGAUGAAGCCUCGGGAGGGGGAGCAAAGUUUUUUCAAGACACAGUUAACUGGGGAUUUAGUAGCACUGGUGAUUAUGGGCUUACGAAUUUUGACCAUGCCUACAUAGAAAAUAAUAUUUCCAUACUCAAAAUGAACAACUCGGAAUUGUACAGAACUGCCCGACUUUCAUUCCUUUCUCUCACAUAUUAUGCCCGUUGCUUAGCAAAUGGAAAUUACACUGUGAAACUACACUUUGCAGAAAUAGUUCUCAGAGACAACAGAUCUUAUUAUGGUGUUGGAAGCCGAUUUUUUGAUGUCUAUAUUCAGGACAAGCUGGUAUUGAAGGAUUUUAAUAUCGAAAAAGAAGCUCAGGGUAUUGAUAAGGAAGUGAUUAAAGUAUUUAAAGCCGUUGUCAGUGUUAGCACCUUAGAAAUCCGUUUCUAUUGGGCUGGGAAAGGGACUAUGAAUGUCCCAAAGAGAGGGACAUAUGGUUCUCUAAUAUCAGCUAUCUCAGUUGAGUCUGAUGGUACUACUAUUGCUGUUAAGCAACUUUCAUCGAAGUCAAAACAAGGAAAUCGUGAGUUUGUGAAUGAAAUAGGAAUGAUUUCUGGUUUGCAACAUCCAAAUCUUGUUAGAUUGUAUGGAUGUUGCAUUGAAGGAAUCAGUUGUUGCUGGUAUAUGAAUACAUGGAGAACAAUAGUCUUGCACAUACCUUGUUUGGUCCAGAAGAUGAUAAACUGAAAUUGGACUGGCCUACAAGGCAAAAAAUAUGUAUUGGCAUUGCAAGAGGGCUAGCUUUCCUGCAUGAGGAAUCAACACUGAAAAUUGUUCACAGAGACAUCAAAAUGAGUAAUAUACUGCUAGAUAGAGACCUUAACCCUAAAAUCUCCGACUUUGGAUUGGCCAAGCUGGACGAAGAGGAGAAGACGCAUAUUAGUACCAGAGUAGCUGGAACUAUAGGAUACAUGGCGCCAGAAUAUGCUUUGUGGGGUCACUUAACUGAUAAAGUAGAUGUUUAUAGUUUUGGAGUUGUUGCGUUAGAGCUUGUAUCUGGCAAAAACAACGUCAAAUUUCGGCAUGAUGAGAAUUAUGUUUGCCUUCUAGAUUAUGCCCUUGUUUUGCAACAAAAAGAAAAACUGAUGGAGCUAGUGGAUCCAAAGCUGGAAUCCAAGUUCAACAAGGAAGAGGCAAUGAGAAUGAUUAAAGUAGCUCUACUAUGCACCCAUCCAUCACCAGCAUUGAGACCUACAAUAUCUGCAGCACUAAGCAUGCUUGAAGGCCGAGCAGUUAUUCACGAGUUAAAUACAAGCUCCAGUAUGUAUAGUGAUCAUAAGCUAGCGUUUGAGUCCUUCAGAGAUGAGUAUCAUGAUGUGAGUAUUCAACAGAGACUUCUGCCUCAAGGGCCAGAGGCCUCUUCCUCAAGGACUGUCCAUGAUAGCUAUACAUUUAACCUUGAUUGUCCGUAGUUUUUUUAUAUAUAUUAUAGAGCUUAGUAUAUUUUUUCCAUGGUCUUGCACAUCACAACUUUGAUGUAUGUGUCUUUUCAAUCUAUGAUUGUAUAUGAA